UCCGAGGCUUACAAAGACAAACUACACAGCAUGGUCUAUGAAAAUGCGGGUCUUUAUGCAAGCCCAUGGCGUGUGGGAGCUAGGCUAUAGAACCUACAGAUCCCAAGACGGUUGUUGAAGACAAGGUUGACAAGAGAGCAUUGGCCAUAAUUUAUCAAGGUAUUGCUGAGGACUUACGUUUGUCGAUUGCAGAGAAAAAGAAUGCCAAGGAAGCGUGGGAAGAGAUCAAAACAGUGACUUGGGUGCAGACAAAGUAAAGAAAGCGAAGGCUCAGACUCUUAAAUCAGAGUUUGAAUCCCGUUUGUGUAAGAAGGUAAGAAGUACUUCUAAGAAGUCGUGAGAAAGAAGUUGGAAGUACAAAAUGCUAGCUUUCUUUACCCACUUCUACUUAUUUUCCAAAAACUUUAACAACUUAUAAGUGUUAAUUUAGUUCUCACUUUUACUCCACUUUUUUAAGCAAGAAGUCACUUCUUUGAAGCUAACCAAAUGGCCCCAUAUAUUCAAAAACUUGCAUGACGAGUGCGGUGGCCGGUUUUCCGCUCAUAGGCCCCUUCCUCUUCUUCUUGGUCUUAUUACCACUAGAGCAUCAACAACAUCUUUUAUCCUGAGAUUAUAACAAACAGAGAUCAGAAGUGUCGC
RNAcentral lists this long non-coding RNA (639 nucleotides) under Daucus carota (carrot). Its description in RNAcentral is "long non-coding RNA (DCAR_LNC002750)". Lineage: Eukaryota; Viridiplantae; Streptophyta; Magnoliopsida; Apiales; Apiaceae. The record is from RNAcentral.